RNAcentral lists this ribosomal RNA (504 nucleotides) under uncultured bacterium. Its description in RNAcentral is "bacterial SSU rRNA". It matches the Rfam family "Bacterial small subunit ribosomal RNA", at positions 37 to 518 of the family's 1533-position model. The record is from RNAcentral.
UGGCGGCGUGCUUAACACAUGCAAGUCGUGCGAGAAAGGUCCUUCGGGGACUGAGUAGAGCGGCGCACGGGUGAGUAACGCGUGGGUGACCUACCCAGGAGACCGGGAUAACAGUGGGAAACUGCUGCUAAUACCGGGUACGCUUCAUAUUUCACGUAUGGGGGAAAGGCGGCCUCUGCUUGCAAGCUGCCACUCUUGGAUGGGCCCGCGUCUCAUUAGCUUGUUGGUAGGGUAACGGCCUACCAAGGCGACGAUGAGUAGCUGGUCUGAGAGGAUGAUCAGCCACACUGGGACUGGAACACGGCCCAGACUCCUACGGGAGGCAGCAGUGGGGAAUAUUGCGCAAUGGGCGAAAGCCUGACGCAGCGACGCCGCGUGAAGGGGAAGAAGGCCUUCGGGGUCGUAAACCUCUGUCAGGAGGGAAGAAACCAUGGGAGUCGAAUAGGCUCUCGUGCUGACGGUACCUCCGGAGGAAGCACCGGCUAACUCCGUGCCAGCAGCCGC